CCUACGGGCGGCAGCAGUGAGGAAUAUUGGUCAAUGGACGAGAGUCUGAACCAGUCAAGUAGCGUGAAGGAUGACUGCCCUAUGGGUUGUAAACUUCUUUUAUAUGGGAAUAAAAUGUUCCACGUGUGGGAUUUUGUAUGUAUCAUAUGAAUAAGGAUCCGCCAACUCCGUGCCAGCAGCCGCGGUAAUACGGAGGAACCGAGCGUUAUCCGGAUUUAUUGGGUUUAAAGGGAGCGUAGGUGGAUUGUUAAGUCAGUUGUGAAAGUUUGCGGCUCAACCGUAAAAUUGCAGUUGAAACUGGCAGUCUUGAGUGCAGGAGAGGUAGGCGGAAUUCGUGGUGUAGCGGUGAAAUGCUUAGAUAUCACGAAGAACUCCGAUUGCGAAGGCAGUUCACUGGACUGCAACUGACACUGAGGCUCGAAAGUGUGGGUAUCAAACAGGAUUAGAUACCCGUGUAGUC
This 460-nucleotide ribosomal RNA is filed under the name uncultured bacterium. Its description in RNAcentral is "partial 16S ribosomal RNA". It matches the Rfam family "Bacterial small subunit ribosomal RNA", at positions 338 to 795 of the family's 1533-position model. The record is from RNAcentral.